RNAcentral lists this transfer RNA (31 nucleotides) under Anthracothorax nigricollis (black-throated mango). RNAcentral's name for it is "partial tRNA-Met". The record is from RNAcentral. Lineage: Eukaryota; Metazoa; Chordata; Aves; Apodiformes; Trochilidae.
GAAAAUGAUGGUUUGACUCCUUCCCUUAUUA